UACGGGGGGAGCAAGCGUUGUUCGGAUUUACUGGGCGUAAAGGGCGGGUAGGCGGCCACUGCAAGUCGGUUGUGAAAUCUCCGGGCUUAACCCGGAAAGGUCAAUCGAUACUGCAGGGCUAGAGUGCAGAAGGGGCAACUGGAAUUCUCGGUGUAGCGGUGAAAUGCGUAGAUAUCGAGAGGAACACCUGCGGCGAAGGCGGGUUGCUGGGCUGACACUGACGCUGAACUGCGAAAGCUAGGGGAGCGAACGGG
Molecule: ribosomal RNA, 254 nt
Filed under: Acidobacterium sp.
Lineage: Bacteria; Pseudomonadati; Acidobacteriota; Terriglobia; Terriglobales; Acidobacteriaceae
Also listed under: 1 other name
Description: partial 16S ribosomal RNA
Rfam family: Bacterial small subunit ribosomal RNA
Source: RNAcentral